UCGUCGCCCUCUUCGUCAGUCGCUCAGUUGCCGCCGCCGCGCACGGAGCAAGGCGCGCCUUCUCCCCCACCCUCCCUCCUGCGCGCGACACGCCCUCGCCAGCUUCCUCUCGGCCCGGUUCUAACGCGAUGGUGGAUUACCACGCCGCCGGACAACCAGCUUCUUAUCAGUACGGCGGCAACGGGCCCGGCAUCGGGGACUACAUGGCUCAAGAGGACGACUGGGACAGGGACCUCCUGCUCGACCCCGCCUGGGAGAAGCAGCAGCGCAAGACUUUCACAGCGUGGUGCAAUUCCCACCUGCGGAAAGCCGGCACACAGAUUGAGAACAUUGACGAAGAUUUCCGCGAUGGCCUCAAGCUCAUGUUACUCCUCGAGGUGAUUUCAGGAGAACGGUUACCAAAACCGGAGAGAGGAAAGAUGAGGGUGCACAAGAUCAACAACGUCAACAAAGCCCUCGAUUUUAUCGCAAGCAAAGGAGUCAAGCUGGUUUCCAUAGGAGCUGAAGAAAUUGUCGAUGGCAAUGCAAAGAUGACCCUCGGUAUGAUCUGGACGAUCAUCCUCCGGUUUGCCAUUCAGGAUAUUUCCGUGGAAGAAACUUCGGCCAAGGAGGGCCUGUUGCUCUGGUGCCAGAGGAAGACAGCUCCCUACAAGAACGUGAACGUGCAGAACUUCCACAUAAGCUGGAAGGAUGGCCUUGCUUUUAAUGCCUUGAUCCACAGACACAGACCAGAACUCAUUGAAUACGACAAGCUCAGAAAGGACGAUCCGGUAACAAAUCUGAACAAUGCCUUUGAGGUCGCCGAGAAAUACCUUGACAUUCCCAAGAUGUUGGAUGCGGAAGAUAUUGUAGGCACGCUCAGGCCCGAUGAGAAGGCCAUCAUGACCUACGUCUCCUGCUUCUAUCACGCUUUUUCGGGGGCUCAGAAGGCUGAGACAGCCGCAAACAGGAUUUGCAAAGUGUUGGCGGUGAACCAGGAGAAUGAGCACCUGAUGGAAGACUACGAAAAGCUGGCUUCUGAUCUUCUGGAGUGGAUUCAGCGCACCAUCCCUUGGCUGGAGAACCGUGUCCCUCAGAAGACUAUGCAAGGGAUGCAGCAGAAGCUGGAGGACUUCCGCGACUACCGGAGGGUCCACAAGCCCCCUAAGGUGCAGGAGAAGUGCCAGCUGGAGAUCAACUUCAACACCUUGCAGACCAAGCUGCGGCUGAGCAAUCGGCCGGCCUUCAUGCCUUCCGAGGGGAAGAUGGUUUCGGACAUCAACAAUGGUUGGCAGCACUUGGAGCAGGCGGAGAAAGGUUUCGAAGAGUGGCUACUGAAUGAGAUGCGGAGGCUGGAGCGGCUGGAGCACUUGGGUCAGAAGUUCAGGCAGAAGGCAUCCAUUCACGAGUCUUGGACCGAAGGCAAAGAGGCCAUGCUGAAACAGAAGGACUACGAGACGGCCACCCUUUCGGACAUCAAAGCCCUGAUCCGGAAACAUGAAGCUUUUGAGAGCGACCUGGCGGCUCACCAGGACCGAGUGGAGCAGAUUGCGGCCAUUGCUCAGGAGCUCAAUGAAUUGGACUACUAUGACUCCCCGAGUGUCAAUGCCCGGUGCCAGAAGAUCUGUGACCAGUGGGACACGCUAGGAUCCUUGACUCACACACGGAGGGAAGCUCUGGAGAAAACAGAGAAGCAGCUGGAGACCAUCGACCAGCUCCACUUGGAGUACGCCAAGCGGGCAGCGCCCUUUAACAACUGGAUGGAGAGCGCCAUGGAGGACCUGCAAGACAUGUUCAUCGUCCACACCAUUGAGGAGAUUGAGGGUCUGAUUGCAGCCCACGACCAGUUCAAGUCCACCCUGCCUGAUGCAGACAAAGAGCGGGAAGCCAUCCUGGGCAUCCAGAGCGAAGCACAAAAGAUUGCGGAUUACAAUAACAUAAAACUCUCCGGGAACAACCCGUACACUUCGGUCACUCCACAGAUCAUCAACUCUAAGUGGGAAAGGGUGCAACAACUGGUGCCAAAGAGGGACAAUGCCUUGCAAGAUGAGCAGAGCAAGCAGCAGUCUAACGAACACUUGCGCCGACAGUUUGCCAGCCAGGCCAACAUUGUGGGGCCCUGGAUCCAGACCAAAAUGGAGGAGAUUGGGCGCAUUUCCAUCGAAAUGAACGGCACCUUGGAGGACCAGCUGAACCACCUCAAGCAGUACGAGCAGAGCAUCGUUGAUUACAAACCCAACAUCGACGUCCUGGAGCAGCAGCACCAGCUCAUCCAGGAGGCCCUCAUCUUUGACAACAAGCACACCAACUACACCAUGGAGCAUAUUCGUGUAGGCUGGGAGCAGCUCCUCACCACCAUUGCCCGGACCAGCAAUGAGGUGGAGAACCAGAUCCUGACCCGGGACGCAAAGGGAAUCAGCCAGGAGCAGAUGCAAGAGUUCCGGGCCUCCUUCAACCACUUUGAUAAGGACCACGGCGGCUCCCUCGGACCAGAAGAGUUCAAAGCUUGCCUCAUCAGCUUGGGAUACGAUGUGGAAAAUGACAGACAGAAGCGCACGGGGAGCAUGGACACCGAUGACUACCGAGCCCUCCUUAUCUCCACAGGAUACAGCCUGGGAGACGCGGAGUUCAACAGGAUCAUGAGCGUUGUGGAUCCCAACAACAGUGGCGUUGUCACCUUCCAAGCCUUCAUUGACUUCAUGUCCCGGGAGACGACAGACACGGAUACGGCUGACCAAGUCAUUGCCUCCUUCAAAGUCUUAGCUGGUGACAAGAACUACAUCACGGCCGAGGAGCUGCGACGAGAGCUUCCUCCCGACCAGGCCGAGUACUGCAUCGCCCGCAUGGCACCUUACCAGGGACCCGACGCCAUCCCCGGGGCCCUUGACUACAAGUCCUUCUCUACAGCUCUGUAUGGCGAGAGCGACCUGUGAGAUGGAGGCGGUGGAGGAGGAGGAAGAGGAGGAGGAAGAGGAGGAGGAGGAAGCCGCGGCAACAGCAAGCGCUGGCGCUUCUUGGGGGGAGGGCAGGGGGAGUAACCGUUUGAUUUCCCUCCAUGCUGUAUAAUCACAGACACAAACACACACAGACACACACAGAGCAACGGGGACAUUGUGUCCUUCUCUUUCUUUUCUCAAUCUCUCUCUCUUUCUCUCUUUGAGGACAGAAAGCUGCCGUCACCAUGCUGGGCAACCUUGGGCGCUGACUGAUGUAAACGUUCAGUUUUUUUAAAAAAAUUGAGUAUUCUGCAAACGCGGUUACCUAUGCAACGGUCCUUAUUCUUCCUUUUACCCCAAGACAGUGAGCUCAGGGGAGAGGCUGGAGGUCUCUUCAAUUUCCUGACCCUUCUCUUUCUCUUUUCUCUCGGAUGGAAAUACGGCAAUUGUCAAAAUAUGGCGAUUGUGGCUCAAUAUGACUUAUUUUUGUUAAAUAUAGAUCCAAUUCUAUUCCCCAUCUGCUCUCAAAGUUGGGAGAACUUGGCUGACACUUAUCCCAUUCUCUCUUUCUCCCUCCCCAAUUUUUUUAAUCGUGCAUGGGUAACCAAAACCAUGCCUUUAUAACAGUGGCAUGUCGGCACUCAAUGCAAUCCAGAACCGAGCUGCCUACAAUACACUUCCUGGGUACUCCGUUCCUUUCCUCACCUUCUGCUAGCUGUGCUAGGUUGUCGGGAUAUAGCCUCACCUUGCCUUUUUUACCACUUGCCCAGGGAACUCCCUCACAUCCUACUUUGCCCACCUAAUAAUACCUUCUUGCCACCUUUAGCAACGAAGAAGACAUAGAGGGGUCGGCACUUUGGGGCUUCCAAUAUACGUUCUCAGUUCUGCCGUCGCAUAGUGCUGUUCUUUGAUCCAUUUGCCCUCUCAGUACAAAAUGCCUUCUGGACUUGGCACCUCCCCUAUUUUUAUAAGAUAUCGGCACCCAUCACUUCACCGAGAACCUUCUGAUUGACAGAAUUUUUCAAUUUCAGUGUGACAGGGCACAGAGGAGAAGAAGGUGAUAUUUUGGUUGCUUUGUGGGGUCCUUCCAACAUGGGUGCGGAGGCUGUGCCUCUCUUCGUAAGCCUCGUAUUCCCCGAUCCCUUAUCGGUGAUGGAGAAAUACCUUUUGGGGGCCUGCAUCUGGCUUUGUAAGUCAGCCCCUUCCCCAUAAAGACACUCAUUUUAUAAAAAAUCUAGGAACACAUGUCUUUCAGCAAUACAAACCAAGCAACAUAAACAGGUUGGGGGGUCUCUUAACUUUCUUCCAAGGGCUGGAAGUCGAGCAUCCAUCAUAGAAGUAGGAUGUGUCCAUUUCCUCCCUCUUUUUUUCCAGAACCAGGUUGGUUUGGGGUAGAUAAUAGUUGGAAGAGGAAUGUUUGGGUUUGAUGAGAGAGAAAUGAAGUGAAAUUGGUGAUCUGUAGGGGUUCCGGGAAUAGUCUUGAAUCAUGUCUGAAAUUGUGGGGAGGACCACCUACCCCACGCUAUCUGAUGUUGUGGGGAAGACCAUGCACCCUACACUAUCUGAGGUUGUGAGGAGGACCAUCCACCCCAUGCUAUCUGAGGUUGUGGGGAGGACCACCCACCCCACACUAUCUGAGGUUGUGGGGAGGACUAUCCACCCCACGCUAUCUGAGGUUGUGAGGAGGACCAUCCACCCUACACUAUCUGAGGUUGUGGGGAGGACCAUGUACCCCACACUAUCUGAGGUAGGGAGGACCACCCACCCCAUGCUAUCUGAGGUUGUGGAGAGGACCAUCCACCCCACGGUAUCUGAGGUGUUGAGGAGGACCAUCCACCCCACACUAUCUGAGGUUGUGGGGAGGACCACCCACCCCACACUAUCUGAGGUUGUGGGGAGGACCACCCAGCCCACGCUAUCUGAGGUUGUGAGGAGGACCAUCCACCCCACGCUAUCUGAUGUUGUGGGGAGGACCAUCCACCCCACGCUAUCUGAGGUUGUGGGGAGGACCAUCCACCCCACGCUAUCUGAGGUUGUGAGGAAGACCAUCCACCCCAUGUUAUCUGAGGUUGUGGGGAGGACCACCCAACCCACGCUAUCUGAGGUUGUGAGGAGGACCAUCCACCCCACGCUAUCUGAGGUUGUGAGGAGGACCAUCCACCCCACACUAUCUGAGGUUGUAGGGAGGACCACCUACCCCACGGUAUCUGAGGUUGUGGGGAGGACCACCCACCCCACCGUGAUUGAGAUUGUGGGGAGGACCACCCACUCCACCCCAAAUGUCCCGUUCGCAUCCUUGGACGACAGGGAAACCGGGGACGGCAUCCGAAGCAAGUCCUUCUGGGCGCCUCACGUUUGUUCCGCUCAGCCGCUCUCUCUCUCCUUCCCUCGCAGGGCAGAAGCAACUCGCUCGUUCUUAAGUCUUCCUCACUUUCUCUUCACUUUUUUGAAAACAACCCUUUAAGAAAAGAAAAAAAAAUCCCAUCGCUUCUCACGCUUAUAUAUAUAUAUAAAUAUAUUAUAUAUAUCUAUUUUUUUGUAAUUUCUUCAUCAUGGUGCAGGGUUUUCUGAGGACCAAAAUUUAAAACGGAAGAGAACCAUGCGGAGAUCUUUUUUUUAAGAAAAAUAAAAAGGAGAGAAAUUUAAAAACACAGCAAAACUGUUUCGAUUUAAUAACGUCCAGAUUUAUUAUUAUUAUUAUUAAAUAUAUAUAUUCAUCUAGCAUCGUAUAUUGCCGAUGGGUGGUGUGGCUUUUUGUUUUGUUUUGGUCUCUUUUUUUCUUCUUUUUUUCCGCGGGGGGAUUUCUUUCCCUCGUCUUCGUCCUUUCAUCAUGUACCUUAAUGUUAUGGCUGAUGGUAGCACUGGAAACUGUAACAUUCCCCACAUAUUUUUUUUCUUUCCUCCCCUUUGGGAUCAUCGAGCUUUCAUUUUGGUUCUCUCUUCUUUCUUUUUUUGUCGUCUCGGAAAGGUUUAGCUUAUUUUAUUGCGUUCGCUACUGAAUCCCUGUCUCAAGGGGCGGAUGAUUCAGCCGAUAGGGAGUAGCUGGGUUUCUGUCCACCUCCGUUCAUCAUCACGUCUUCUCUAAAACUUCCAAGCUUUCUGGGGAAACUUGCCCUCCUCCCUUCUUGGGAACAAAACAAUAAAGUGUAAUAUUUUUAAGGA
This is a non-coding RNA of Anolis sagrei ordinatus, 6077 nucleotides long. The record is from RefSeq and is a predicted model, not a curated record. Lineage: Eukaryota; Metazoa; Chordata; Lepidosauria; Squamata; Anolidae.